RNAcentral lists this ribosomal RNA (432 nucleotides) under uncultured bacterium. RNAcentral describes it as "partial 16S ribosomal RNA". It matches the Rfam family "Bacterial small subunit ribosomal RNA", at positions 338 to 795 of the family's 1533-position model. The record is from RNAcentral.
CCUACGGGAGGCAGCAGUGGGGAAUAUUGCACAAUGGGCGCAAGCCUGAUGCAGCGACGCCGCGUGAGGGAUGACGGCCUUCGGGUUGUAAACCUCUUUCGCCAGGGACGCGGUACCUGGAGAAGAAGGACCGGCCAACUACGUGCCAGCAGCCGCGGUAAUACGUAGGGUCCGAGCGUUGUCCGGAAUUACUGGGCGUAAAGAGCUCGUAGGUGGUUUGUCGCGUUGUUCGUGAAAACUCACAACUCAAUUGUGGGCGUGCGGGCGAUACGGGCAGACUGGAGUACUGCAGGGGAGACUGGAAUUCCUGGUGUAGCGGUGGAAUGCGCAGAUAUCAGGAGGAACACCGGUGGCGAAGGCGGGUCUCUGGGCAGUACUGACGCUGAGGAGCGAAAGCGUGGGGAGCGAACAGGAUUAGAUACCCUUGUAGUC